RNAcentral lists this ribosomal RNA (497 nucleotides) under uncultured bacterium. RNAcentral's name for it is "partial 16S ribosomal RNA". It matches the Rfam family "Bacterial small subunit ribosomal RNA", at positions 28 to 507 of the family's 1533-position model. The record is from RNAcentral.
GAUGAACGCUGGCGGCGUGCCUAAUACAUGCCAGUCGAGCGAACAGACGAGGAGCUUGCUCCUCUGACGUUAGCGGCGGACGGGUGAGUAACACGUGGAUAACCUACCUAUAAGACUGGGAUAACUUCGGGAAACCGGAGCUAAUACCGGAUAAUAUAUUGAACCGCAUGGUUCAAUAGUGAAAGACGGUUUUGCUGUCACUUAUAGAUGGAUCCGCGCCGCAUUAGCUAGUUGGUAAGGUAACGGCUUACCAAGGCAACGAUGCGUAGCCGACCUGAGAGGGUGAUCGGCCACACUGGAACUGAGACACGGUCCAGACUCCUACGGGAGGCAGCAGUAGGGAAUCUUCCGCAAUGGGCGAAAGCUUGACGGAGCAACGCCGCGUGAGUGAUGAAGGUCUUCGGAUCGUAAAACUCUGUCAUUAGGGAAGAACAAAUGUGUAAGUAACUAUGCACGUCUUGACGGUACCUAAUCAGAAAGCCACGGCUAACUACGUG